GCGGCCUCACCUCCCAGCGCUGUGGAAGGCUGAGCUGCUGUGCUCGGAAGGGCAGACUCCUCCAUGGCUUCUAACUCAAAUGACACAAGGAGUGUCUCCCCGCUGCUGUCCUGGGGCUCCUGGCCCUAGAAGGGCUCCCCAUGAUGCAGCUGUGGCCAUGGGCAGCCUUCCCCCGUCCCCCGGCCUCUCCACAGCUCUGUGAUGUCUGCUAGCCCCAUUUUAUCGAUUCAGACCCCGAGGCUUGGAGGGGACAGAAGGGUCCAGUCUAGGUCUCUCUGAGCCCAGAGCUAAUGCUCCUGUGAGCAGGGGGACCUGCCAGUUCACCACACCCGACAGAAACCACACAGCUGGCACCAGGCACUUGGGUAUUGAACCAGGAAGCUUUAUUUACACAGUAAAAGUAACAAGCAAAUUCCUGAGAGACUAGAGCGGCUGGAGUGCAAGCCACGGCCUGUGCGGGGAGGCCAGGCUGCAGGGGCGGGCAGACCCUGGGCCCCGGGUCUACGCUUUCUGGUCGCCACACUUCCUGAAGCUCGGCAACACCCACAACGUCCAGCUCAGGGAAGCCCCUGCAGCCCCAGAAACAGCCUAUGUGCUAUCUGUCGCCCCAGCCCCCAGGACAGCUUCCCCACACACUGAAAACACAAAUCAUUUGCCAAAAAGACUAUGCUAGAAGGUCAGACUAUCCUAUCUAGGCUACAAGAUCUCCACUUCGGUCUGCCAUUAAAAAAAAAAUCUUUCUCUUCUUUUCUCUUUAAAGAGGCAUGACAGAGGGGUUUGACCAACAGCGUGGACAUGGCAAGGUGUGGCAUCAUUGCCAGUGUGGGGCCAGAGGGUGCCCGAGCCCCGGUGCGCGGCCAGCCUGCUGCAUCCCUGCCGGCUGACGUCUGGAGUGACCGUCAUUCCAGUGACCACCCCCAUAGCCACAGACGGCACGUCAGUGGAAACGGGGGUGCAGCAGGCAUGACACCAAGGCAGAGCCCGCAGCAGGGGGCCCGGGGUUCCACAGCUAGGGAAGCUUGCUCAGACAGGCAGCACACCCAGGGCACGGCCACUCACGCCCCCGCACCAGGAGACCCAUUUGGAAGUUAGGGUUUGUUUUGUUUUCUUUUUAAUGUGGACUUCCCCUUUAUUUAAAUUUUCUUUCAGUGUACAAAUUCACAAAACUGGCUACAAAAAUUUGGUUGAAAAGUAAGGCUUUCUGAGAAUGAAAAUCUGUACGUCUGGUCAGAACAAGCUCCCCACGGGCCCAGGUGCACGUCUGCCCGUGCAACUCCGGCCUCCACCGCGAGUAAGGCAAGAGGGUAUGGCAACGAAAAUGGCGAGGCUGCGGCCCCAGCCCCUGGGCCCCACGGGUGGACGGCAGCCCCUGGCAGUUUGGUGGCUUUGGAAUGAGUGGGGUGCAUGUGGCACUAAGCCCCUCCCCGCCCCCCCGGCUUUCCUGCAGGCUUAGCCCGCUCUUUAGGACCCCAUGAGCAGGCAGAUGGCCUGGCACGGCUUGCUUCUGGCUCUGCCCUUCCUCAGUCUCCCCUCAGAGGCAGGGUUUGUGGGCAAGGCUGUGACAAAAGUAAGGCUCCUGCCACUGCCCCCAGCUGGGGCCAUCAUGCUGGUGGGGGUGAGCUGUCUGCCUGCUGCCCAUGGGGACACCAAUGUGGGGGGCACCUCCUAGGCGAACCUCCCUCCCAGAGGACUGAGAUCACAAGUCCUGCGGCCCGCAGGGUGGAGUGCAGGAACAGGCUGCUCCGGGCAGUGUGGCAGCUUGGAUGAUGGGGUGGCACCUUAUAGAUAGGGUCUACUCUCUCCAGUCAAAACACAAACAUGAAACCAGCUAAAGGCCAUUUCUUUCUCUAAGCAGAAGGGAUAGCCACCAUUUUCUCCCCUGACUGCUGCGUGGUGGGUACAGGCCAGGCAGGCGGGGUUUGAGGAAGCUGGGUCAUUUCUGCCUAAGCGCCCUGGGGCUGGGCUUAACUGGUCGAUGGGACCAGCUUGCGGGGAGGUGGGGAGGUGGCUGUGACUCAGCCAGCUCCACAGCUUGUCCCUUCCUGCCACCAUGCCUGAAUGGGGAGGUGGCAGGCAAGGUUUGAGGGCAGGUCACCCACACCCCAGUCCCACGACAUAUACCUGUCACCAUGUGCCUCCCACCCCAGCCCUAAGCAAAGGUAGCUGGGGGCUGCUGCAUGCCUCAGCUGGCACCGUCCGCCUCCCUCACUGCCUCUGCCUUCCACAGGAAGGCCUGCUAUAGAAGCUGUGUGCCCUCGGUGGCCACACCAGGCAUGUGGUGCCAGGACCCCCCACGCCCAAUGGUACUCUGGGGGCAAGACAUGGCCAUGUGCUCUCCACAUUCACCCAACAACUGCCCUGGCCGCCUCCAUAUUUGCUCUGAGAAGACAUGGUCUCCAUGACCCCCCAGGCAGGGACAGGCCAAGAUGUCUCUGUCUGCUCAGAGCCACCAGCUCUUGGGUUCGGCUGUCCGGGAUCACAGGUAGACAUGCCUCCGGCAGGAGCUACAGCAACCAGAGGUGAGCUGGUUCCCCAGCUCUGGGACCUGCCCAGUGCCCAGCAUACCCCAUGUGUCAGCCACCUGAGCUGGCAACACCAUCUCUCAGGGCUGUGGGGCUGGGGGCUUUCUGCCAGCUCCUUAAAGCUGAUUUUUUAAGAAGUGCCACCCACAUAUUGGGAACUUGAACCACCAUCCUUUUGAUGUAGUAAAAAAAUAAGAUUUAAACAACGUUUCCCAAAAAGCAUCUUUCUUGAGGAGAAAGAAGGUGAGAAGCAUCUGGACUCAACCUGCAGAAGCGAAGCGUUCACUCGUCCAUGAAGACGAGCAAAAGCAAAGUGACUACAAAAGUGCUUUGAACGCGCGUGUCAGCCAACGCAAGGGAGCGCACCAGUUAUUUUUAGCCUUAUGGGAAAAUGAGCCACUUGCUCCUAAGCCAGCCCAAUUGCUAUUGUUUGCAGAAGACGUCAAAUUCGCUAAAAGCCAGAUUCCCAUAGAGCAGAGCCCAUGUGGUGGUGUCUGCAAGGCAGCCGGAGAGGAGCUACAAACCCUGAGAGUAGAGCAAACCCUCAGGGGGCUAGGCUCCUCGGAUGCCCCAGGGUGAGGAGCCAGGGCGGGGUAGGGGCAGGGAGCAUGAAUCCAGCUUUGUGCCGGUGGCUGGGCCUACAACAGAGAUGCAGCCCUCAGGACUGGGCUCCCCCUAAGCUGACAAGGGCGUGGGCUUGUCUUGAGGUGGGUGAUGUGCCCUGGUUACAGCCAGCAGUCCUCAAGGACAAAUGGGAGGUGUCUGGAAUCCUGCAGGGGCCCCUGCAGAGUGGCCAGCGGACGCCCUUCACCCCUGAGUGUGCACAGGGCCCUCAUCUGCCCACCUGCUCGCAGCUCCCGUCUCCCGAGGCCGUUUUCAAGAGGCUGCCCUGGUAUCGUGCCAUCCCUACACUCACCGGAACCAACCACGCUUAUCACUCAGUGACCAGUCAGCCACAGAGAAGGGCUGCCAUCUGCUAACCCUGCCCCAACGGUGGCAGAGCCAUGGGGUCAGCCUCUCCAUGCUGUAGGAGAGGCAAGCGAGUCCGUCUUUUCAGCCAACAGAUCCACCAAAUUUCUACCCAACACGGGAGGCCCUAACAAGCACCCUCCAAAUCGUUCCUUGGGCCCGAGACUCCGGACAUGGCUUACCCUCUGGAGGGCCAGUCCAGCACCCCAGGGAUUCUGUCUCUCACAUUGGAAUUAAGGCCAAAUGGUUCUGGUGUUACAGAAGGAAGCGUCUCCCGAACCUUCCCAAGCCUGAAGCAGGGAGACCUGGGAGAGAAGGCACGGAGUAAAACUGAGUGAAAGAAGCUGCGGGGCCGACUCCCCAAAAGUGAACCUGAGUGAGGCCAAGAACAUGGCAGAUGGCCCCUGGCCCCCACCCCAGGCCCUCCCUGACAGCCCCCACCAGGGGGAUACAGAGCGGUGCCCAGCUCUGCCGGGGACAACAGAGACUGCCCAACAUCCCACAGGGAAAGAGGCAGAAAAGACGCAAACUUCAAAGCUGUCCUCUGGGCUGCAGUAGUUCUGUGGACCUGGUGGCUGCCACGCUCGGGGAGCCGGUGAGAGGCUGACACACCCGCUGUAUGACACAGCCAGGCCAGGCUCUCCCCCAGGCAACAGGUGGGCUCCCUCUCUGGGACCCGACACCACUCAGGAAGCUUUCAUCAGGCCCACGAGUUGGGCUCCCCUUCAAGGGCCCACCUAGUGCCCAGAGUGGGGGCUGUCGAUGCCAGCACACCCCAGCCCUGCCUGGGCCCACACCCCCUCAGUUCUUCUCUAUCUGCUCAAUGUCCAACUCGCCGUCCAGGGAGCAGAGGCUGUUCCCAGGGGCCCCGCGGUCCCGCCAGGCUGCAGCCGGCUCCGCUCUCCUGCCACAAUCCUCGUCCAGGGCGCAGCUGUCUGACUCCUCACAGGACAGGUCCUCCUGGCAGGCGAGGUGGUCGUCGAAGGAAGGGGGAAGAGGCUCAGGGACCGGGGUCCCAGCGGGGGUCCUGCCCCCUGGGCCGGAGGCUGAGAGCAGGGCGGUCCAGGCCCUGGUGUUGCUGACGUGGCGGGCGAAGGGGCUCUGGGGACCGCAGUCCUCUGUCCCUGCGCUCAGGCAGCUGAGGCUGCUGAAGGUCUGACAGUUCUGUGGAGGGGCAGACACACAGGUUACUAAGGGUUACUCCCCUCCCGCAGCCCCAGGACUGCACACCCCACAAAGCGACUAGACCACCAGGCUGUGGCAAGACCAAUCAAGUCCCGGGUUCCUCCUAUCCAGGCAAGGACGGGCCCAAGAGCAAUGUACUCAUGAAGAUGCACCUCCGGCCAAUGAGCGCUCUGUGCUCAUAAAGACACGCGCAAUUCCACUAUUCACCUACUAACUCGGCAAGCACACAAAUUUGAUGCAGACCCAGUUCUGGGGGGCUGUGGUGAAACAGGAAUGCUCCUAACACUUCGUCCACAGCCUUUCUGAAGCGCAACCUGGGGAAAAUAUAUCCAAUUCCUUGAUCAGGUAAUUUCACUACUUGGAUUUUUAUCUUAAGAAAACAUUCUAAGAUGUGUGUAAAAAUUUGGCAACAUACCAUUAAAUGGAAAAGAAGAGAGUAACCCAAACGCCCUACAAUGGUGGUGAAAUCAAUGAUGUUUUUCAAGCAGGGACCUCUAUGCAAACAUAACUGACGUGCCACGAUACUUCCCUUGAGAAGGGAUCUGACUUUCAGGAAACCCAGGCUGUAACUGCCCCACACAGGGCGACACGACGCCCGCUCUACCCACUCUCCACAACCAGAGUGGGAGCCGCAGGCUAGAAGGGGCCGAGCUGAAGUCCUGAGCCUGGUGUAUAACAGAGCCAUGCAGGGAGCUGGGGAAACAUGAGUUCUCGGCCUCACCUGGAGACGCAGAGUCUCUAGAAGGGAGUGGUCCUGUACCCUCCACAGGUGCUGGGGACUGGGAGGACUGAUCUGCUGAGGAGGGGCCAGGCUCCAGGUUCUGGUGCUCACCAGCUGGGGGCCUCAUCUGGAAGAGGUGCAUGAUGCUCCCUGCCUGCCUUGCUGGGCCCUUUGAGGCCCCAGAGAGAGAGUAGGCUGCGCAGAAGCUUCUCCGCUCACCAAGUGUGCUCCCUCUGUGUGCUCCCAGGCUGGCCUGGGGCAGGAGGCAGCCUGGGGCCUGCCCGAGCGGCAGGCAGAGCUUGAACAGGAUUUCAAGGGUACGCAGGCCAGUUCUGCUUGGCGUCAGCUGCCAGCAAUGGGGGUAGGGCUGACACUGUGCACAAGUGGGUGCAGUUCAACGCCUGCUCCCAGGGCGGAGCACAAAAU
RNAcentral lists this long non-coding RNA (5823 nucleotides) under Pan troglodytes (chimpanzee). RNAcentral describes it as "long non-coding RNA NONPTRT001934". The record is from RNAcentral. Lineage: Eukaryota; Metazoa; Chordata; Mammalia; Primates; Hominidae.